Molecule: ribosomal RNA, 253 nt
Filed under: uncultured bacterium
Lineage: Bacteria
Description: partial 16S ribosomal RNA
Rfam family: Bacterial small subunit ribosomal RNA
Source: RNAcentral
UACGUAGGGGGCUAGCGUUGUCCGGAAUCAUUGGGCGUAAAGCGCGUGUAGGCGGUCCGGUAAGUCCGCUGUGAAAGUCGGGGGCUCAACCCUCGGAUGCCGGUGGAUACUGUCGGGCUUGAGUACGGAAGAGGCGAGUGGAAUUCCUGGUGUAGCGGUGAAAUGCGCAGAUAUCAGGAGGAACACCAAUUGCGAAGGCAGCUCGCUGGGACGUUACUGACGCUGAGACGCGACAGCGUGGGGAGCAAACAGG